AGGCCAGUGAUUAGGCCUUGAUCAACAGCACCUGCCAGGAAAUGCUCUAGAGCAGAGGGUGGAAAGAAACACACACACAUACACUGCGCACCAACACAGAGCCCUGACAGUCUAUGGAAGCGAUGGAGAGAUCAAAGAGAAACAAGAUCCGAAACAAGAAGCAUGCAUUUUUCUGUGGCUAAGAGUAUGGACUUCCAGCAACAAAGAAAUCAAGCAAAUAGGGCUCAGCAAUUUUCCUUUUCUCAGAAUAUAAGUUUUUAUUUUUUAUACCCAUUCAUUCUACACCCAGUUUCCCGGAUGAGGUAUCCAGAGUGUGACAGAUCCAAGUUUCCGGAGUGCACCAUGGCUGGCUGCUGACUGAGGCAGGAUGAUGAGGUCAGCAGGUGAAUGUGCAUCAAUGGACUUGGAGGGGUGGCACCGGAAAUGUCAUGAAUGCCUGUCCGCACUAAUGCAAGGUCCUGUCCCUGUCAUCAUGCAGAUGGUUAGCUGUGUGGAGAAGAAUUAAUGUAGAUAGUGAAAAGUAAAAACGUUUUGACUCUCCAAAGAUUUUUGCUUUCUAAAGCAAAAUGCUCAAAUAAAGUAGACUUUGCUUUUUA
Girardinichthys multiradiatus is the source of this 596-nucleotide long non-coding RNA. RefSeq lists it as uncharacterized. The transcript is spliced from 3 exons. The record is from RefSeq and is a predicted model, not a curated record. Lineage: Eukaryota; Metazoa; Chordata; Actinopteri; Cyprinodontiformes; Goodeidae.